RNAcentral lists this ribosomal RNA (253 nucleotides) under uncultured bacterium. Its description in RNAcentral is "partial 16S ribosomal RNA". It matches the Rfam family "Bacterial small subunit ribosomal RNA", at positions 524 to 776 of the family's 1533-position model. The record is from RNAcentral.
UACGAAGGUCCCAAGCGUUGUUCGGAAUCACUGGGCGUAAAGGGCGCGUAGGCGGCGUGGUAAGUCAGAUGUGAAAUCCCGGGGCUCAACCCCGGAACUGCAUCCGAUACUGCCAUGCUUGAGGGUUGGAGAGGUAGCUGGAAUUAUCGGUGUAGCAGUGAAAUGCGUGGAUAUCGAUAGGAACACUCGUGGCGAAGGCGAGCUACUGGACAACAUCUGACGCUGAGGCUCGAAGGCUAGGGGAGCAAAAGGG